This 214-nucleotide long non-coding RNA is filed under the name Mytilus galloprovincialis (Mediterranean mussel). Lineage: Eukaryota; Metazoa; Mollusca; Bivalvia; Mytilida; Mytilidae. The record is from RNAcentral.
CGUGGGUAUCAAUUUUUGUGCAAUAUGGAAAACUUUCGUGGGUAUUUGAUUUCGUGGUUUUGUCAAUCUCUGCAUAGAAAGCCUAUACAAAAUGUGUAGUUCGUUGAAAAUUUAUUUUCAUGGUUCACCUGUUCCCACGAAAAUUGGUAUCCAACGAAUAAUAAUGAAUCCCCAGUAUAAUCAUAACCACUACAAAAAUAAUCAAAGAUGUAAC